GAUGAACGCUAGCUACAGGCUUAACACAUGCAAGUCGCGGGGCAGCAUGACAUCAGCUUGCUGAUGUUGAUGGCGACCGGCGCACGGGUGAGUAACGCGUAUCCAACCUGCCCUUUACUAUGGGACAGCCCGUCGAAAGGCGGAUUAAUACCGUAUGUUGUCAUGUUGAUGCAUAUUUUCAUGACCAAAGGCUUCGGCCGGUAAAGGAUGGGGAUGCGUCUGAUUAGCUUGCCGGCGGGGUAACGGCCCACCGGGGCGACGAUCAGUAGCCGGCCUGAGAGGGUGAACGGCCACAUUGGGACUGAGACACGGCCCAA
This 317-nucleotide ribosomal RNA is filed under the name uncultured bacterium. RNAcentral's name for it is "bacterial SSU rRNA". It matches the Rfam family "Bacterial small subunit ribosomal RNA", at positions 28 to 334 of the family's 1533-position model. The record is from RNAcentral.